AAUGUAACUUUUUGGAGUAGUGGCAGACCAUUUUGUUCCAACAAGACUAGCCUUCAGCAGAUCAACUUCCUUCUCAACCUUAGGAUUUUUCACAAAUCCACCAAAUUGUCUCACUGCUACAGACGAAGCAUUCCAUCUCUGAACAGUGAGACCAUUUGCUCCAGCUGGGUCAUUUUGGUUCUCUUUUGGCACAAAGAAGCUCACAACA
This 208-nucleotide long non-coding RNA is filed under the name Phaseolus vulgaris (common bean). Its description in RNAcentral is "long non-coding RNA (PVUL_LNC003775)". Lineage: Eukaryota; Viridiplantae; Streptophyta; Magnoliopsida; Fabales; Fabaceae. The record is from RNAcentral.